GACCUCAGUUCAGGUGAGAUUACCGGCUGAAUUUAAGCAUAUUACUAAGCCGAGGAAAAGAAACUAACAAGGAUUCCCCUAGUAGCAGCGAGCGAACAGGGAAGAGCCCAGCGCUGAAUCCCCCGGGCCUCGCUCGGCGGGAAAUGUAGCGUUUGGGAGGGCCCGUCAACACGGCGACUCGCUCACUGGUUCAAGUCCAACUUGAAUGGGGCCACACAGAGGGUGACAGGCCCGUAGAGCAGGAGCGGUUGUCGUGUGGGUCUCUCCUUAGAGUCGGUUUGCUUGAGAGUGCAGACUUAAGUGGGUGGUAAACUCCAUCUAAGGGCUAAAUAUGACCACGAGACCGAUAGCACACAAGUACCGUGAGGGAAAGGUGAAAGAACUUUGAAGAGAGAGUUCAAGAGUACGUGAAACUGAAGUGGUGUAAACGGACGAGUUCGAAAAGUCCGAAUGGUGAGAUUCAAGCUUACCGUGCCGGUGGACCUCGGGUA
RNAcentral lists this ribosomal RNA (491 nucleotides) under Frankliniella occidentalis (western flower thrips). Its description in RNAcentral is "eukaryotic LSU rRNA". It matches the Rfam family "Eukaryotic large subunit ribosomal RNA", at positions 1 to 482 of the family's 3401-position model. The record is from RNAcentral. Lineage: Eukaryota; Metazoa; Arthropoda; Insecta; Thysanoptera; Thripidae.